UACGUAGGGGCCAAGCGUUGUCCGGAUUUAUUGGGCGUAAAGAGCUCGUAGGUGGUUUGUCGCGUCUGUCGUGAAAGCCCAUGGCUUAACUCCGAAACUGCAUUCGAUACUGCCGUGCUUGAGGACUGGAGAGGAGACUGGAAUUUACGGUGUAGCGGUGAAAUGCGUAGAUAUCGUAAGGAAGACCAGUGGCGAAGGCGGGUCUCUGGACAGUUCCUGACGCUGAGGCACGAAGGCCAGGGGAGCAAACGGG
This 253-nucleotide ribosomal RNA is filed under the name uncultured bacterium. Its description in RNAcentral is "partial 16S ribosomal RNA". It matches the Rfam family "Bacterial small subunit ribosomal RNA", at positions 524 to 776 of the family's 1533-position model. The record is from RNAcentral.